This 543-nucleotide ribosomal RNA is filed under the name uncultured bacterium. RNAcentral's name for it is "bacterial SSU rRNA". It matches the Rfam family "Bacterial small subunit ribosomal RNA", at positions 355 to 896 of the family's 1533-position model. The record is from RNAcentral.
UGAGGAAUAUUGGUCAAUGGGCGGAAGCCUGAACCAGCCAAGUAGCGUGAAAGAUGACUGCCCUAUGGGUUGUAAACUUCUUUUACAAGGGAAUAAUUGUGGGUACGCGUACCCAUUUGCAUGUACCUUAUGAAUAAGGAUCGGCUAACUCCGUGCCAGCAGCCGCGGUAAUACGGAGGAUCCGAGCGUUAUCCGGAUUUAUUGGGUUUAAAGGGAGCGUAGGCGGGCGCUUAAGUCAGCUGUGAAAGUUUGGGGCUCAACCUUAAAAUUGCAGUUGAUACUGGGUGCCUUGAGUGCAGUAUAGGCAGGCGGAAUUCGUGGUGUAGCGGUGAAAUGCAUAGAUAUCACGAGGAACUCCGAUUGCGAAGGCAGCUUGCCAUACUGCGACUGACACUGAAGCACGAAGGCGUGGGUAUCAAACAGGAUUAGAUACCCAGGUAGUCCACGCAGUAAACGAUGAUUACUAGGAGUUUGCGAUAUACCGUCAAGCUUCCACAGCGAAAGCGUUAAGUAAUCCACCUGGGGAGUACGCCGGCAACGGUG